RNAcentral lists this ribosomal RNA (402 nucleotides) under bacterium. RNAcentral's name for it is "partial 16S ribosomal RNA". It matches the Rfam family "Bacterial small subunit ribosomal RNA", at positions 355 to 776 of the family's 1533-position model. The record is from RNAcentral.
UGGGGAAUUUUGCACAAUGGGGGAAACCCUGAUGCAGCGACGCCGCGUGAUUUAGAAGGCCUUCGGGUUGUAAAAAUCUUUUCUAUGGGAAGAAAAUGACAGUACCAUAGGAAUAAGGACCGGCUAAUUACGUGCCAGCAGCCGCGGUAAUACGUAAGGUCCGAGCGUUGUCCGGAAUCUUUGGGCGUAAAGGGUACGUAGGCGGGUAAGCAAGUUAGAAGUGAAAUCCUAUAGCUCAACUAUAGUAAGCUUUUAAAACUGCUCAUCUUGAGGUAUGGAAGGGAAAGUGGAAUUCCUAGUGUAGCGGUGAAAUGCGCAGAUAUUAGGAGGAAUACCGGUGGCGAAGGCGACUUUCUGGCCAUAACCUGACGCUGAGGUACGAAAGCGUGGGUAGCAAACAGG